Molecule: non-coding RNA, 268 nt
Filed under: Bacillus solimangrovi
Lineage: Bacteria; Bacillati; Bacillota; Bacilli; Caryophanales; Bacillaceae
Description: T-box sequence
Rfam family: T-box leader
About the family: Uncharged tRNA acts as the effector for transcription antitermination of genes in the T-box leader family.
Source: RNAcentral
UAAACGGCUAUGAAGAGAAGAGUAGUUAUGAUUAAUUAUUUCCAGAGAGCUCCAGUAGGUGGGAAGGAGCAAUAAUGAUCUUAAUGAACAAAGACUCAGAGCUUCGCACGGAUCUAGGAUCAUAAUCUUAGUGAUACUGCGACGGGAUCUCCCGUUACAGAGAUAGGGUAUAAUCAAUGAUUGUAAUUGACGUACCCGAAGAGGUUGAUAUGGUGACAUAUCAAUAAACUGGGGUGGUACCACGAAGUUCAUAACUCUCGUCCUCAAG